GACUAAGCCAUGCAUGUUGUGCGCCUCCAAACCACGUUGGAGGAGCAGCAUACGGCUCAGUAAAACAUGACUAACCUGCCCUGGGGAUCAGAAUACCCACGGGAAACUGUGGAUAAUUCUGGAUGGGUGAGGGUGCCUGGAAGGGCUCCUUAUUGAAAGGGUGUGUGAGCCAUGUUCUCAUACAUUGUCCCAGGAUGGGGUCAUGUCCGAUCAGGCUGUUGGUGAGGUAAUGGCUCACCAAACCAGUAACCGGUACGGGCCGUGAGAGCGGAAGCCCGGAGAUGGAUCCUGAGACAAGGAUCCAGGCCCUACGGGGCGCAGCAGGCGCGAAACCUCCGCAAUGCGCGAAAGCGUGACGGGGUUAUCCCGAGUGUCGCCUGCUGAAGGCGACUUUUCCCCAGUCUACAAAGCUGGGGGUAAUAAGGGGAGGGCAAGUCUGGUGUCAGCCGCCGCGGUAAUACCAGCUCCCCGAGUGGUGAGGAGGAUCAUUGGGCCUAAAGCGUCCGUAGCCGGCUUAGUAAGUCUCCCGUCAAAUCCGACGAUCCCAAUCGCCGGGCUGCGGGAGAUACUGCUGAGCUAGGAGGCGGGAGAGGCCGGCGGUACUUCUGGGGUAGGGGUGAAAUCCUAUAAUCCCGGAAGGACCACCAGUGGCGAAGGCGGCCGGCCAGAACGCGCUCGACGGUGAGGGACGAAAGCUGGGGGAGCGAACCGGAUUAGAUACCCGGGUAGUCCCAGCUGUAAACGAUGCGGGCUAAGUGUCGGAAUGGCUAUUGUGCCAUUUCGGUGCUGCAGGGAAGCCGUUAAGCCCGCCGCCUGGGGAGUACGGCCGCAAGGCUGAAACUUAAAGGAAUUGGCGGGGGAGCACCACAAGGGGUGAAGCUUGCGGUUUAAUUGGAGUCAACGCCGGGAACCUCACCGGGAGUGACAGCUGAAUGAAAGCCAGAUUAAAGGUCUUGCUGGACUAGCUGAGAGGAGGUGCAUGGCCGUCGUCAGUUCGUGCCGUGAGGUAUCCCGUUAAGUCGGGAAACGAGCGAGACCCACACCUCUAGUUGCCAGCGGGUUCGAAAGGACGCCGGGCACUCUAGAGGGACCGCCGCCGAUAAGGCGGAGGAAGGAGUGGGCCACGGCAGGUCAGUAUGCCCCGGAUCUCCCGGGCCACACGUGAGCUGCAAUGGUAGGGACAAUGCGUUUCGACCUCGAAAGGGGAAGGUAAUCGCGAAACCCUACCUCAGUUGGGAUCGAGGGCUGCAACCCGUCCUCGUGAACAUGGAAUCCCUAGUAAUCGCGUGUCAUCAGCGCGCGGUGAAUACGUCCCUGCUCCU
This 1322-nucleotide ribosomal RNA is filed under the name uncultured archaeon. Its description in RNAcentral is "16S ribosomal RNA". It matches the Rfam family "Archaeal small subunit ribosomal RNA", at positions 42 to 1337 of the family's 1478-position model. The record is from RNAcentral.